CUUUUCAGGAGCUGACUGUGUGCUGGUACCACAUUGAUCGUUCUACUUAGUCAAAGGCAUAACAGGAUGAGGAGACACUGACUCCAGCCCCAGGGAAUUUACAACUACAGGUUGAAUUUGCCACUAAAGGUUGAAUUUGCCACUUCAAGAUUCAACGCGCACAACUGUUCACGACUGGAGGACCAAUGCUUAUUUUGUCCUUUACUGAGUGAUGUCUCAACAUCAACCUUUCCCGAAAUGUCUGAUGUAGGUUGUGAAAAGCUCGCCGCGUGUCAGGCAAGGUGGCCUGUGAAAAUAACCAGGAAGAUGUAGCAAAUAGACUGUCUGCUGCAAUUUACAAGGAUGCAAUUAAGGAGAUUAUAGAACCUGCCCAAGAUCACACACACGCACAGUAAGUUAGGAUGCUGACAAGACGGUCUGAGAGUAGCGCUUUAUGCUCCAAGUUGAGAUAUUACACAGUCUCUCUGGCGACCCAUUUCUGUGUUUCCAUCUUUAAUAUUAUACCCAUUUCUUUAUUCCAAAUUUUAACUCAUAUAAAUUCUUUACAUCGUAUGUACUGAGGAUGACUAUACACAAAAUCUAAAAUACACACUAAACAUUCACAUGCGACACGUAAAUGCAUAAUUCAAUUAAAGACAAAUCUGGCAAACUU
Molecule: long non-coding RNA, 652 nt
Organism: Neofelis nebulosa (Clouded leopard)
Lineage: Eukaryota; Metazoa; Chordata; Mammalia; Carnivora; Felidae
Exons: 3
Source: RefSeq, a predicted model, not a curated record